Molecule: ribosomal RNA, 442 nt
Filed under: uncultured bacterium
Lineage: Bacteria
Description: partial 16S ribosomal RNA
Rfam family: Bacterial small subunit ribosomal RNA
Source: RNAcentral
CCUACGGGAGGCAGCAGUGGGGAAUAUUGGGCAAUGGGCGCAAGCCUGACCCAGCAACGCCGCGUGAAGGAAGAAGGCUUUCGGGUUGUAAACUUCUUUUCAGAGGGAAGAGCAGAAGUCGGUACCUCUUGAAUAAGCUACGGCUAACUACGUGCCAGCAGCCGCGGUAAUCCGUAGGUGGCAAGCGUUGUCCGGAUUUACUGGGUGUAAAGGGCGUGCAGCCGGGAAGACAAGUCAGAUGUGAAAUCUCGCGGCUCAACCGCGGAACUGCAUGUGAAACUGUUUUUCUUGAGUACCGGAGAGGGUAUCGGAAUUCCUUGUGUAGCGGUGAAAUGCGUAGAUAUAAGGAAGAACACCAGUGGCGAAGGCGGAUGACUGGACGGCAACUGACGGUGAGGCGCGAAAGCGUGGGGAGCAAACAGGAUUAGAUACCCGUGUAGUC